GCUCGAGUGGCGAACGGGUGAGUAACACGUGAGUAACCUGCCCUUGACUUUGGGAUAACUUCAGGAACUGGGGCUAAUACCGGAUAGGAGCUCCUGCUGCAUGGUGGGGGUUGGAAAGUUUCGGCGGUUGGGGAUGGACUCGCGGCUUAUCAGCUUGUUGGUGGGGUAGUGGCUUACCAAGGCUUUGACGGGUAGCCGGCCUGAGAGGGUGACCGGCCACAUUGGGACUGAGAUACGGCCCAG
This 243-nucleotide ribosomal RNA is filed under the name uncultured Actinomycetales bacterium. Its description in RNAcentral is "partial 16S ribosomal RNA". It matches the Rfam family "Bacterial small subunit ribosomal RNA", at positions 89 to 334 of the family's 1533-position model. The record is from RNAcentral. Lineage: Bacteria; Bacillati; Actinomycetota; Actinomycetes; Actinomycetales.